AUGGAUCCAAAUUCAACAUAUUUGCUGAAAAUCAAAUUGCUUGGCAACCCAAAAAAAGCUAGGAAGGAUAUCAAAUGCUUUUGUUAUGAUAAGGUUAUUGAUUCCGACUUAACAACUUAUAAGGACUUGGUUGAAUCAAUCGUAGAGCAGUACUCGCCUCGCUAUUUGGAAGUUGCACAUGUUCAGUACUAUGAUCCUUUUCUUAAAAUCUACCCAGAAGUAACAUCUGACCAGGAAUUGGUGUCUAUGUUUGAGAAACUCUCUAAGACAAAGGUUGUGCACUUGUUUGUUGCAUAUUGUGAUCCAUCUGAACCAUAUGAGCCUACCACGGAGUGGCAUAUUGAUGUGCAUAUCCAACCUAGCAACACAGAACAAGACGAUGAUGAUUAUCUUCGCAACCCAAUACUUGAGAAUGAACAUGUUGGUGUUGAUGAGGAAAAUAUUUAUUUAGACGAUGAUGAUUAUGAUAAAUUAGAUCCUCUUAUCAUGGUUCCCUGUUUCGAUAAAGAAAGGGACGAAGACUAUGUUCCUGAUCAUGAGAGCGAGGAUGAGAGCGAUGAGGAAGUAGAGGAAGAUGAGGAAGUGCACGAGGCAGAGCAUGUUGGAAAUAUGCCCUAG
Molecule: ribosomal RNA, 618 nt
Filed under: Triticum aestivum (bread wheat)
Lineage: Eukaryota; Viridiplantae; Streptophyta; Magnoliopsida; Poales; Poaceae
Description: partial small subunit ribosomal RNA
Source: RNAcentral